AAUGAACGCUGGCGGCGUGCCUAACACAUGCAAGUCGAGCGAGAAAGUGGCUUCGGCCAUGAGUACAGCGGCGAACGGGUGAGUAACACGUGGAUAACCUGCCUGGAAGUGGGGGAUAACUCGGGGAAACCUGAGCUAAUACCGCAUACGCUUUCCGGAUCGCGGUCCGGAUCGGAAAGGUUGCCUCUUCUUCGAAAGCUAUCGCUUCCAGAGGGGUCCGCGCCUGAUUAGCAGUUGGUGAGGUAAUGGCUCACCAAGGCGACGAUCAGUAGCCGGCCUGAGAGGGUGAUCGGCCACACUGGAACUGAGACACGGUCCAGACUCCUACGGGAGGCAGCAGUGGGGAAUAUUGCGCAAUGGGGAAACCCUGACGCAGCAACGCCGCGUGGAGGAUGAAGGCCUU
Molecule: ribosomal RNA, 403 nt
Filed under: uncultured bacterium
Lineage: Bacteria
Description: bacterial SSU rRNA
Rfam family: Bacterial small subunit ribosomal RNA
Source: RNAcentral